GAUGAACGCUGGCGGCGUGCCUAAUACAUGCAAGUCGAGCGAACGGACGCGUAGCUUGCUUCUCUGAUGUUAGCGGCGGACGGGUAAGUAAACCGUGGAUAACCUACCUAUAAGACUGGGUUAACUUCGGGAAACCGGAGCUAAUACCGGAUAAUAUUCUGAACCGCAUGGUUCAAUAGUGAAAGACGGUCUUUCUGUCACUUAUAGAUGGAUCCGCGCUGCAUUAGCUAGUUGGUAAGGUAACGGCUUACCAAGGCAACGAUGGAUAGCCGACCUGAGAGGGUGAGCGGCCACCCUGGAAGUGAGACACGGUCCAGACACCUACGUGCGGCAGCAGUAGGGAGUCGUCCGCGAUGGGCGAGAGCCUGACGGAGCAACGCCGCGUGAGUGAUGAAGGUCUUCGGUUCGUUAAACUCUGUUAUUAGGGAGGAACAAAUGUGUAAGUAACUGUGCACAUCUUGACGGUACCUAAGCAGAAAGCCACGGCUAACUACGUG
RNAcentral lists this ribosomal RNA (497 nucleotides) under uncultured bacterium. RNAcentral describes it as "partial 16S ribosomal RNA". It matches the Rfam family "Bacterial small subunit ribosomal RNA", at positions 28 to 507 of the family's 1533-position model. The record is from RNAcentral.